ACCGAUUGAAUGGCUUAGUGAGGCCUUCGGACUGGCCCAAGGAGGUCGGCAACGACCACCUAGGGCCGGAAAGUUCGUCAAACUAAGUCAUUUAGAGGAAGUAAAAGUCGUAACAAGGUUUCCGUAGGUGAACCUGCGGAAGGAUCAUUAAAAGAGAGCGGCCGCCCCUCGCGGGCGGCCACCCCUCUACCCCUUGAAUUCGCACACCGCGUAGCCCCCCCGGAACCCCUCGCGGGGGAUGGGGGAGCAAAAAACCAUCAAACGUUCUGACCUCGCUCAGUCUGAGCCACAUUGGCAAAUAAAUCAAAACUUUUAACAACGGAUCUCUUGGCUCUGGCAUCGAUGAAGAACGCAGCGAAAUGCGAUAAGUAAUGUGAAUUGCAGAAUUCCGUGAAUCAUCGAAUCUUUGAACGCACAUUGCGCCCUCCGGCAUUCCGGAGGGCACGCCUGUCCGAGCGUCAUUACAACCCUCAAGCUCCGCUUGGUAUUGGGCGACCGCCCGCCAGCCCUCGGGCGGCGGACGCGCCUCGAAGAACUCGGCGGUCCCAGGACGGCUCCGGGCGUAGCAAAAGCGAAUCGCCUUGGAGUCCGCCCCGGCGGCCUGCCGCACAAAUGACACGCAACUUUUUGCAAGGUUGACCUCGGAUCAGGCGGGGAUACCCGCUGAACUUAAGCAUAUCAAUAAGCGGAGGAAAAGAAACCAACAGGGAUUGCCUUAGUAACGGCGAGUGAAGCGGCAACAGCUCAAAUUUGAAAUCUGGUCCCCCCGGGGCCCGAGUUGUAAUUUGCAGAGGGUGCUUCGGCGUCGGCUCCGGUCCAAGUUCCUUGGAACAGGACGUCACAGAGGGUGAGAACCCCGUACGUGGCCGGAAGUCUUCGCCGUGUGAAGCCCCUUCGACGAGUCGAGUUGUUUGGGAAUGCAGCUCUAAAUGGGAGGUAAAUUUCUUCUAAAGCUAAAUACCGGCCAGAGACCGAUAGCGCACAAGUAGAGUGAUCGAAAGAUGAAAAGCACUUUGGAAAGAGAGUUAAAAAGCACGUGAAAUUGUUAAAAGGGAAGCAGUUGCAGCCAGACUUGGCCGCGGGCGUUCAACCGUGCUUCUGCACGGUGUACUCGACCGCGGUCAGGCCAGCAUCAGUUCGGGCGGCCGGAUAAAGGUCCUGGGAAUGUGGCUCCCCUCGGGGAGUGUUAUAGCCCGGGGCGUAAUACGGCCAGCCUGGACUGAGGUCCGCGCUUCGGCUAGGAUGCUGGCAUAAUGGCUGUAACUGGCCCGUCUUGAAACACGGACCAAGGAGUCUAACAUCUAUGCGAGUGUUUGGGUGUCAAACCCAUACGCGUAAUGAAAGUGAACGGAGGUGAGAGCCGCAAGGCGCAUCAUCGACCGAUCCUGAUGUCUUCGGAUGGAUUUGAGUAUGAGCAUAGCUGUUGGGACCCGAAAGAUGGUGAACUAUGCCUGAAUAGGGUGAAGCCAGAGGAAACUCUGGUGGAGGCUCGCAGCGGUUCUGACGUGCAAAUCGAUCGUCAAAUUUGGGUAUAGGGGCGAAAGACUAAUCGAACCAUUGACCUACUAGGUGGUUAACAGGCGGCUAAAAGUGCCCGCCUAGUCCCUUCACUCGGGGCGACGCUAUCAAAUUGCGGGGACAUCCUUAGAGCUCAGGCUACCGCGGCCCGCCGAAAGGCAGGGUGCAGCACCGGGGUAACGACCCAGGGGAAGGUAAAAACGCCUGAGAUUGGACAAUCCGCAGCCAAGUCCUAAACGCCCUCGGGGCGCACGGAUGCAGUUCACAGACUAGAUGGUAGCGGGUCGCCCUCAACGGGCGGCUUAAGAUAUAGUCGACUCCCCGCGGAGACGCGGGCGACGGGGCAAAGCUCGAAGGAUGGGUGAGCGGCGAGCGGCCGCGCCUGAGAGCCCGAACCCCGCCGGGAAGCGCGCGUUCGCGCCUCCGAGC
RNAcentral lists this ribosomal RNA (1947 nucleotides) under Valsaria spartii. RNAcentral describes it as "eukaryotic LSU rRNA". The stretch from base 637 to 1947 matches the Rfam family "Eukaryotic large subunit ribosomal RNA", at positions 1 to 1433 of the family's 3401-position model. Lineage: Eukaryota; Fungi; Ascomycota; Dothideomycetes; Valsariales; Valsariaceae. The record is from RNAcentral.